This 244-nucleotide ribosomal RNA is filed under the name uncultured Pseudomonas sp. Its description in RNAcentral is "partial 16S ribosomal RNA". It matches the Rfam family "Bacterial small subunit ribosomal RNA", at positions 1140 to 1382 of the family's 1533-position model. The record is from RNAcentral. Lineage: Bacteria; Pseudomonadati; Pseudomonadota; Gammaproteobacteria; Pseudomonadales; Pseudomonadaceae.
CUAAGGAGACUGCCGGUGGACAAACCGGAGGAAGGUGGGGAUGACGUCAAGUCAUCAUGGCCCUUACGGCCUGGGCUACACACGUGCUACAAUGGUCGGUACAAAGGGUUGCCAAGCCGCGAGGUGGAGCUAAUCCCAUAAAACCGAUCGUAGUCCGGAUCGCAGUCUGCAACUCGACUGCGUGAAGUCGGAAUCGCUAGUAAUCGUGAAUCAGAAUGUCACGGUGAAUACGUUCCCGGGCCUU